GAUGAAGAACGUAGUGAAAUGCAAUACGUAAUGUGAAUUGCAAAUUCAGUGAAUCAUCGAGUCUUUGAACGCACAUUGCGCCCCCUGGUAUUCCGGGGGGCAUGCCUGUCCGAGCGUCAUUGCUGCCCUCAAGCACGGCUUGUGUGUUGGGCCCCGUCCUCCGAUCCCGGGGGACGGGCCCGAAAGGCAGCGGCGGCACCGCGUCCGGUCCUCGAGCGUAUGGGGCUUUGUCACCCGCUCUGUAGGCCCGGCCGGCGCUUGCCGAUCAACCCAAAUUUUUAUCCAGGUUGACCUCGGAUCAGGUAGGGAUACCCGCUGAACUUAAGCAUAUCAAUAAGCGGAGGA
Molecule: unclassified non-coding RNA, 345 nt
Filed under: soil metagenome
Description: partial contains 5.8S ribosomal RNA, internal transcribed spacer 2, and large subunit ribosomal RNA
Rfam family: 5.8S ribosomal RNA (bases 1-119)
Source: RNAcentral